Molecule: ribosomal RNA, 505 nt
Filed under: uncultured Lachnospiraceae bacterium
Lineage: Bacteria; Bacillati; Bacillota; Clostridia; Lachnospirales; Lachnospiraceae
Description: partial 16S ribosomal RNA
Source: RNAcentral
CACGUAGUUAGCCGGGGCUUCUUAGUCAGGUACCGUCAUUUUCUUUCCUGCUGAUAGAGCUUUACGUACCGAAAUACUUCUUCACUCACGCGGCGUCGCUGGAUCAGGGUUUCCCCCAUUGUCCAAUAUUCCCCACUGCUGCCUCCCGUAGGAGUUUGGGCCGUGUCUCGGUCCCAAUGUGGCCGUCCACCCUCUCAGGCCGGCUACUGAUCGUUGCCUUGGUGGGCCGUUACCCCGCAACCAGCUAAUCAGACGCGGGCCCAUCCCAUACCACCGGAGUUUUUCACACACCUUCAUGCGAAGCUGUGCGCUUAUGCGGUUUUAGCACCUGUUCCAGGUGUUAUCCCCCGGUAUGGGGCAGGUUGCCCACGCGUUACUCACCCGUCCGCCACUAACUUACACUUCCGUUAGUCAAUGCAAGCAUCUCCUGCUUCUGUGUAAGUCCGUUCGACUUGCAUGUGUUAGGCACGCCGCCAGCGUUCAUCCUGCGCCAGAUACAAACUCU